Molecule: long non-coding RNA, 978 nt
Filed under: Dermacentor andersoni
Lineage: Eukaryota; Metazoa; Arthropoda; Arachnida; Ixodida; Ixodidae
Description: uncharacterized LOC126536230
Source: RNAcentral
CUACACUUACGUCAUACACACUCCCACCAGUACCGCUGGACAUCCGAAUGGCUGUUGAGAAACAUUGGGCUGGGAUGCACUUUGAAAAGAGGCAGCGACUCAUCCAGUGGUUGUUUCACGACCUCUGCUCAUAUGGAAUGCAUCCAGGAAAGCUGUACGAGGAAGCAAGCAAAGCGUUUGUAGCAAAAUACCCCAGUUUGGCUUACAGCACUGGAACAGGAUAUGAUUCUUGGAGGGAAUCGUUGCGCUUCAAGGCGAAGUAUGAAAGGAGAAAGAUAAAGAUACAGUGUGGGGAAAUUGUGCCUAUCAAAAGGACUCACACAAGUAAAUUGACCAGUGGCGAGACAACGGCAAAAAGAAUGAGAAGACCUACUGCUGUAAGCAUCAGUUGCCUGGCGUUGGCAUGUAACAAAUCAUUUAAUUUGAAAGGUGUCUGGUACAUUUUUUUUUUUCUUCCUUAGGUUGUUGAAGUGUGGGAUGGCGAAGAUGAGAGCAGCAUCAGAAGCCACUUCACUUCCAUGAAAAAGGAGCUUCUGAAACCAAAGGCUAACUUUUCAUAUGUCACAGAUUGCAUGUUACGGACAUUCAGAACUCGACGGGACUGGAUUGAAAAGGAGUGCCCAUCAAUCCAGGCUAUCACGGAUGAAUAUCGAGCUCUGAAAUUAAGUGCCAUGCUUCACAAUGAAUUUAUGCUGCAAACAGGUGUUGACCUGAGUACAACACUGCGACCCCUACUGCGUGCAGUUGCAAAGAAGGUAAUUGAAAAAGCCCAGAAGAAAUGGCAUCUUGAGGCAUUUCUUGCGGACUUCAACAGUCGCUUGUAGGCUGCCACCGAGGACAAAAGAAAUGGUAAAGAGGCUGUUCUGCAUGAUGAUUCGAAAUCACUAAUAUAUGUUUAAUUAUGAUGAUCAUGCUGAGGAAAGUGUACUUAAUGAGUGAACUGAAGUAAAGGUAUGCGAAUGUCAUCCGUGUGGGAAU